Long non-coding RNA from Neomonachus schauinslandi (Hawaiian monk seal), 824 nucleotides. RefSeq lists it as uncharacterized. The record is from RefSeq and is a predicted model, not a curated record. The transcript is spliced from 3 exons. NCBI's taxonomy places the organism in Eukaryota, Metazoa, Chordata, Mammalia, Carnivora, Phocidae.
AGGAGACACCCAGGGCUCAAGGCAGGCUGCCAGGAUCCCAAAGAGAACUCCUCCGUGAGUUUCGCUCGAGGGACAGAUGGGGAAUAGAAAUUUUCUGGACUUGGAUUUCUGCACAUUGAUUUUAUAUCCCGGACUUGGAAUUAUUAUAUGAAGUGUGUGUGUGUGUAUGUGUGUCUGGGGAGACUAAAAUUUUCAGCCUGCCACCCCCAGACCAGGGAGCAGAUAGAGCAGUUCUGCAACACUCUGGACGAUGCUGAAAUCCAACAUGAGCCUUUCCCCAAACUGGAAUGGCAAGCUCUCUGCAUAGAGGGAAGUUCCCCAGUCUGUCCCCAUUCUCCACGCCGGAAAACAUGUCACGGGACAGCUGGACAAGCUCCAGCAGGCUCCAACUCCACUACCCUGUGUACCGAGCUAGAACCUGGAGACAGCCUGGAUGUCCUUCCGCAGGUGAAUGGUAAGCUGUGGUAUAUCUAUUGCUCAAGUGGAGGGGGGAGGCUAGAAGGGGCACUGGACCACUCAACGUCAAUUACAGGAAGAAUCACCAACUACAGACCCCAACAGAAGGAGCAUCAACAGGAAAGAAUCAUCCAUUACAGGCCCCACCAGAGAAACGAUGGACCCUCCUUCUUUUAGCAUCUCCUAAAAGAAAUCGACCAUCCCUGCAACUUAGCCGAUGAGAGAUCUUCAUCACCCUGUCUUGCUUUUCUCCAGUGGAUUUUCAUUCAAAACAACCCCUCCCAACUUCUUCAUAAAAUAAUGCUUCUCUCCUUUGUUUUUUGGACUUGCCUGUAGUUUGGCCAUAGUUUGCAUGUCUUGAGUUGUGA